UGGGUAACCUGCCUCAAAGAGGGGAAUAGCCUCCCCGAAAAGGGAAGAUUAAUACCGCAUAAUAUGUUUAGGUCGCAUGACUUUAACAUCAAAGGAUUUUCUUUUAGAAAUUCCACUUUGAGAUGGACCCCGCGGCGCAUUAGCUAGUUGGUGAGGUAACGGCUCACCAAGGCAACGAUGCGUAGCCGACCUGAGAGGGUGAUCGGCCACAUUGGAACUGAGACACGGUCCAGACUCCGUAGGGAGG
This 247-nucleotide ribosomal RNA is filed under the name uncultured bacterium. RNAcentral describes it as "partial 16S ribosomal RNA". It matches the Rfam family "Bacterial small subunit ribosomal RNA", at positions 118 to 348 of the family's 1533-position model. The record is from RNAcentral.